Molecule: transfer RNA, 81 nt
Filed under: Eutypa lata UCREL1
Lineage: Eukaryota; Fungi; Ascomycota; Sordariomycetes; Xylariales; Diatrypaceae
Description: tRNA-Trp (CCA) (tRNA-Trp-CCA-2-1)
Rfam family: tRNA
About the family: Transfer RNA (tRNA) molecules are approximately 80 nucleotides in length. Their secondary structure includes four short double-helical elements and three loops (D, anti-codon, and T loops).
Source: RNAcentral
GCCAGGUUAGUGUAGUGGUAACACAUCUUCGCCCUCCAAUGGCAAGAUAAGAAGACCCAGGUUCGAUUCCUGGACCAGGCA